GUGCUUGCUUUGGCAGCACAUAUACUUAAAUUGGAAUGGUACAGAGAUUAGCAUGGCCUCUGCACAAGGAUGAUAUGCACAUUUGUGAAGCAUUUUAUAUAUAU
This is a small nuclear RNA of Jaculus jaculus (lesser Egyptian jerboa), 104 nucleotides long. NCBI's taxonomy places the organism in Eukaryota, Metazoa, Chordata, Mammalia, Rodentia, Dipodidae. The record is from RefSeq and is a predicted model, not a curated record.